Long non-coding RNA from Magnolia sinica, 481 nucleotides. RefSeq lists it as uncharacterized. The transcript has 3 exons. NCBI's taxonomy places the organism in Eukaryota, Viridiplantae, Streptophyta, Magnoliopsida, Magnoliales, Magnoliaceae. The record is from RefSeq and is a predicted model, not a curated record.
UGGGCGAAGUAACUCGAAAAACCAGGGUUUUGGUCUUUUGAAGUCUCUCUCUCUCUCUCUCUCUCUCUCUCUCUCUCUCCGCUGCGGAGAGAUUUCAAUGGCUCGAGAGCAACAACAAAUCCCACGCCCUUGGAUUCUUGAUGCCGUUCCUUUUAUCGUCGUCCUUCUCAUCGCUGCUCACGUCUUAGCUUUGGUUUACUGGAUUUAUAGGCUUGCCACUGAGAAACAACCACAACGAAGGAAAGCACACUAGAAUACUACGAAAGAUGAAGAGAGCGACUGAGGAAAGAACGGGGGAAAGGAUUCAGAAGUCAGAAAGAUCAACUCAUGUGCGAUUUCUUCGACCUGUAGUUGAAUUCCUGCGUUUUCCUGAAUUGCAGAUUCUUUUAUUUUUCAUUUUUGGAUUUAUAGUCAUGAUAUGAUAUGUUGGAUGACUCGUGUAUCAUUGCACGUUUGUUGGUAACUAGAUCUUUUUUCCCCC